UGAUUAAUUUUGUGUUUUAAAAUAGGUUUCUACAUUAACAUCCCAACUCAAUGAAAUGAAGGCAAUGGUUAAUUUUUUGGUACAAAAUUAUCAAGGAGAGUUGCCUCGUGAUUUUACUGUGCAUCAUGCACCAACGGUAUCUGAUCAAGGAAGUGUUCCUAACGAAGAAACAAAUGAUCAACAUCCAACACUGCAUUAGAUGAUAUUUUUCGUUUACUUUUGAAAUUUGUCAACAAAUAUGCUUCUAGGAAACUUUUGGUUAAUUUUGGUUUUAUUAUAGGUAGAUAGUGCAUUGCUUAUUAUGUCAUUGUCAUUCAAAUGCUACCUCUCCAACACUUAUUAUGUUAAGAGCAUUAUGACUGCUAGUUCUAUUGGUACCAUUUGAAUGAAUAUUUGUAUUGGUACCAUUUGAAUGAAUAUUUGUAUUGAUUGCUUAUUUUGAAGUGGCAUUGAAGGUUUUGCUUAUU
This is a long non-coding RNA of Vigna unguiculata (cowpea), 467 nucleotides long. The record is from RefSeq and is a predicted model, not a curated record. Lineage: Eukaryota; Viridiplantae; Streptophyta; Magnoliopsida; Fabales; Fabaceae.